GAGAGUGCAGGCGGUUUUCUAAGUCUGAUGUGAAGGCCUUCGGCUUAACCGGAGAAGUGCAUCGGAAACUGGAUAACUUGAGUGCAGAAGAGGGUAGUGGAACUCCAUGUGUAGCGGUGGAAUGCGUAGAUAUAUGGAAGAACACCAGUGGCGAAGGCGGCUACCUGGUCUGCAACUGACGCUGAGACUCGAAAGCAUGGGUAGCGGACAGGAUUAGAUACCCUGGUAG
RNAcentral lists this ribosomal RNA (229 nucleotides) under uncultured bacterium. RNAcentral describes it as "partial 16S ribosomal RNA". It matches the Rfam family "Bacterial small subunit ribosomal RNA", at positions 565 to 793 of the family's 1533-position model. The record is from RNAcentral.